UAGGAGAGCGUUCUAAGGGCGUCGAAGCAUGAUCGCAAGGACAUGUGGAGCGCUUAGAAGUGAGAAUGCCGGUGUGAGUAGCGAAAGAUGGGUGAGAAUCCCAUCCACCGAUUGACUAAGGUUUCCAGAGGAAGGCUCGUCCGCUCUGGGUUAGUCGGGUCCUAAGCCGAGGCCGACAGGCGUAGGCGAUGGAUAACAGGUUGAUAUUCCUGUACCGCCAAUAAUCGUUUUAAGCGAUGGGGGGACACAGUAGGAUAGGCGAAGCGUGCUGUUGGAGUGCACGUCCAAGCAGUAAGACUGAAUGGUAGGCAAAUCCGCCAUUCAUAAGGUCAAGCUGUGAUGGGGAGAGGAAACAUGUUUUCCUCGAGUCGUUGAUUUCACACUGUCGAGAAAAGCCUCUAGCUAGAGAUUUGGCGCCCGUACCGCAAACCGACACAGGUAGUCAAGAUGAGAAUUCUAAGGUGAGCGAGAGAACUCUCGUUAAGGAACUCGGCAAAAUGACCCCGUAACUUCGGGAGAAGGGGUGCUCUUUAGGGUUCACGCUCUGAAGAGCCGCAGUGAAUAGGCCCAAGCGACUGUUUAUCAAAAACACAGGUCUCUGCUAAACCGUAAGGUGAUGUAUAGGGGCUGACGCCUGCCCGGUGCUGGAAGGUUAAGAGGAGUGGUUAGCUUCUGCGAAGCUACGAAUCGAAGCCCCAGUAAACGGCGGCCGUAACUAUAACGGUCCUAAGGUAGCGAAAUUCCUUGUCGGGUAAGUUCCGACCCGCACGAAAGGCGUAACGAUUUGGGCACUGUCUCAACGAGAGACUCGGUGAAAUCAUAGUACCUGUGAAGAUGCAGGUUACCCGCGACAGGACGGAAAGACCCCGUGGAGCUUUACUGUAGCCUGAUAUUGAAAUUCGGCACAGCUUGUACAGGAUAGGUAGGAGCCUUGGAAACGUGAGCGCCAGCUUACGUGGAGGCGUUGGUGGGAUACUACCCUAGCUGUGUUGGAUUUCUAACCCGCGCCAUUGAUCAUGGCGGGAGACAGUGUCAGGCGGGCAGUUUGACUGGGGCGGUCGCCUCCUAAAGUGUAACGGAGGCGCUCAAAGGUUCCCUCAGAAUGGUUGGAAAUCAUUCAUAGAGUGUAAAGGCAUAAGGGAGCUUGACUGCGAGACCUACAAGUCGAGCAGGGUCGAAAGACGGACUUAGUGAUCCGGUGGUUCCGCAUGGAAGGGCCAUCGCUCAACGGAUAAAAGCUACCCCGGGGAUAACAGGCUUAUCUCCCCCAAGAGUUCACAUCGACGGGGAGGUUUGGCACCUCGAUGUCGGCUCAUCGCAUCCUGGGGCUGUAGUCGGUCCCAAGGGUUGGGCUGUUCGCCCAUUAAAGCGGUACGCGAGCUGGGUUCAGAACGUCGUGAGACAGUUCGGUCCCUAUCCGUCGUGGGCGCAGGAAAUUUGAGAGGAGCUGUCCUUAGUACGAGAGGACCGGGAUGGACAUACCUCUGGUGUACCAGUUGUCGUGCCAACGGCAUCGCUGGGUAGCUAUGUAUGGACGGGAUAAGUGCUGAAAGCAUCUAAGCAUGAAGCCCCCCUCAAGAUGAGAUUUCCCAACUUCGGUUAUAAGAUCCCUCAAAGAUGAUGAGGUUAAUAGGUUCGGGGUGGAAGCAUAGCGAUAUGUGGA
Molecule: ribosomal RNA, 1663 nt
Filed under: Staphylococcus piscifermentans
Lineage: Bacteria; Bacillati; Bacillota; Bacilli; Caryophanales; Staphylococcaceae
Description: partial 23S ribosomal RNA
Rfam family: Bacterial large subunit ribosomal RNA
Source: RNAcentral